AUUUAAAUAUAAGUAUGUCCCAUGCAAUAUUUGGAACAUACUUAUGCUAGAA
RNAcentral lists this microRNA precursor (52 nucleotides) under Callithrix jacchus (white-tufted-ear marmoset). RNAcentral's name for it is "mir-1302 microRNA precursor family". It matches the Rfam family "mir-1302 microRNA precursor family". The record is from Rfam by way of RNAcentral. RNAcentral also lists the same sequence under 3 other names. Lineage: Eukaryota; Metazoa; Chordata; Mammalia; Primates; Cebidae.